GACGAACGCUGGCGGCGUGCUUAACACAUGCGAGUCGAACGGAAAGGCCCUGCUUUUGUGGGGUGCUCGAGUGGCGAACGGGUGAGUAACACGUGAGUAACCUGCCCUUGACUUUGGGAUAACUUCAGGAAACUGAGGCUAAUACCGGAUAGGAGCUCCUGCUGCAUGGUGGGGGUUGGAAAGUUUCGGCGGUUGGGGAUGGACUCGCGGCUUAUCAGCUUGUUGGUGGGGUAGUGGCUUACCAAGGCUUUGACGGGUAGCCGGCCUGAGAGGGUGACCGGCCACAUUGGGACUGAGAUACGGCCCAGACUCCUACGGGAGGCAGCAGUGGGGAAUAUUGCACAAUGGGCGGAAGCCUGAUGCAGCAACGCCGCGUGCGGGAUGACGGCCUUCGGGUUGUAAACCGCUUUCGCCUGUGACGAAGCGUGAGUGACGGUAAUGGGUAAAGAAGCACCGGCUAACUACGUG
This 468-nucleotide ribosomal RNA is filed under the name uncultured bacterium. RNAcentral's name for it is "partial 16S ribosomal RNA". It matches the Rfam family "Bacterial small subunit ribosomal RNA", at positions 28 to 507 of the family's 1533-position model. The record is from RNAcentral.